RNAcentral lists this ribosomal RNA (103 nucleotides) under Chordata environmental sample. Its description in RNAcentral is "partial 12S ribosomal RNA". Lineage: Eukaryota; Metazoa; Chordata. The record is from RNAcentral.
GCUUAGCCCUAAACACAAAUAAUUACAUAAACAAGAUUAUUUGCUAGAGUACUACCAGCAACAGCUUAAAACUCAAAGGACUUGGCGGUGCUUUAUAUCCUUC